RNAcentral lists this ribosomal RNA (2305 nucleotides) under Lactobacillus crispatus. Its description in RNAcentral is "partial 23S ribosomal RNA". It matches the Rfam family "Bacterial large subunit ribosomal RNA", at positions 1 to 2316 of the family's 2925-position model. The record is from RNAcentral. Lineage: Bacteria; Bacillati; Bacillota; Bacilli; Lactobacillales; Lactobacillaceae.
GUAAGGUCAAGUAGAAAAGGGCGCACGGUGAAUGCCUAGGCACUAACAGCCGAAGAAGGACGUGACGAACUACGAAAAGCUUCGGGGAGCGGUAAGUACGCAGUGAUCCGGAGAUAUCCGAAUGGGGGAACCCAAUGCAGAGAUGCAUUAUUGAUUAGUGAAUAGAUAGCUAAUCAAAGGAAGACGCAGUGAACUGAAACAUCUAAGUAGCUGCAGGAAGAGAAAGAAAGAUCGAUUUCCUUAGUAGCGGCGAGCGAAGAGGAAAGAGCCCAAACCAAGUGAUUUAUCAUUUGGGGUUGUAGGACUGCGACGUGGCAGUGUAAGAGAUAGUUGAAUUAUCUGGGAAGGUAAGCCAGAGAGGGUGAGAGCCCCGUAAGCGAAAUCUCAAGCACGCCUAGCAGAAUCCUGAGUAGGCCGGGACACGAGGAAUCCCGGUUGAAACCGCGAGGACCAUCUCGCAAGGCUAAAUACUAGUUAGUGACCGAUAGUGAACCAGUACCGUGAGGGAAAGGUGAAAAGAACCCCGGAAGGGGAGUGAAAAAGAACCUGAAACCGUGUGUCUACAAGUAGUCAAAGCACAUUAAAGUGCAAUGGCGUGCCUUUUGUAGAAUGAACCGGCGAGUUACGUUAUCUAGCGAGGUUAAGUCAGAAAAGACGGAGCCGGAGCGAAAGCGAGUCUUAAUAGGGCGAAAAGUUAGGUGACGUAGACCCGAAACCAAGUGACCUACCCAUGACCAGGCUGAAGGUGUGGUAAAACGCACUGGAGGGCCGAACCCACGUAAGUUAAAAAUUGCGGGGAUGAGUUGUGGGUAGCGGUGAAAUUCCAAACGAACUUGGAGAUAGCUGGUUCUCUCCGAAAUAGCUUUAGGGCUAGCCUCGUGGAGAGGAUAAUGGAGGUAGAGCUCUGUUUGGACUAGGGGCCCGUCAGGGGUUACUGAAUCCAGAUAAACUACGAAUUCCAGAUAUCCAUACACGGGAGUCAGACUGCGAGUGAUAAGAUCCGUAGUCGAAAGGGAAACAGCCCAGAUCACCAGUUAAGGUCCCCAAAUCUAUGCUAAGUGGAAAAGGAUGUGGAGUUGCGUAGACAACUAGGACGUUGGCUCAGAAGCAGCCAUCAUUCAAAGAGUGCGUAAUAGCUCACUAGUCGAGUGGCGCUGCGCCGAAAAUUUACCGGGGCUAAGCAUAGUACCGAAACUGUGGAUGUGUUUUAAAGAGCACGUGGUAGGAGAGCGUUCUAAGAGCGGAGAAGUUGAAUCGAGAGGAUCAAUGGAGCGCUUAGAAGUGAGAAUGCCGGUAUGAGUAGCGAAAGAUAGGUGAGAAUCCUAUCCGCCGAAAGACUAAGGUUUCCUGGGGCAGGCUCGUCCGCCCAGGGUAAGUCGGGACCUAAGGCAAGGCCGAGAGGCGUAGUCGAUGGAUAACAGGUAGAGAUUCCUGUACUGUGUCAAAUCGUUAAGAGCGAAGGAGGGACGCAGGAGGUGAAGCACGCAUCGCGAUGGAACGAUGUUCAAGCAACAAGUGCGGUUAAGAGUCAAAUGCUUCUAACCAGCAACACGAGUUGUGAAGAGGAGUGAAUUAAAAGUAGCGAAGGUGUGGUAAUCACACUGCCAAGAAAAGCUUCUAGCCAGAGAUGACAUACCCGUACCGCAAACCGACACAGGUAGUCGAGUGGAGAACACUAAGGUGAGCGAGAGAACUCUCGUUAAGGAACUCGGCAAAAUGACCCCGUAACUUCGGAAGAAGGGGUGCUAGCCAAGAGAUUGGUUAGCCGCAGUGAAUAGGCCCAAACAACUGUUUAUCAAAAACACAGGUCUCUGCAAAAUCGUAAGAUGACGUAUAGAGGCUGACACCUGCCCGGUGCUGGAAGGUUAAGAGGAGAGCUUAGCGUAAGCGAAGGUUUGAAUUGAAGCCCCAGUAAACGGCGGCCGUAACUAUAACGGUCCUAAGGUAGCGAAAUUCCUUGUCGGGUAAGUUCCGACCUGCACGAAAGGUGUAAUGAUUUGGGCACUGUCUCAACGAGAGACUCGGUGAAAUUAUAAUACCCGUGAAGAUGCGGGUUACCCGCGACAGGACGGAAAGACCCCAUGGAGCUUCACUGUAGCUUGAUAUUGAGUAUCUUUUAAACAUGUACAGGAUAGGUAGGAGCCAGAGAAGAUAGGACGCUAGUCUUAUUGGAGGCAAUGUUGGGAUACUACCCUUGUUUGAAGGAUGCUCUAACCUCGACCUGUAAGCCAGGCCAGGGACAGUGUCAGGUGGGCAGUUUGACUGGGGCGGUCGCCUCCUAAAGUGUAACGGAGGCGCUCAAAGG